AUUUAUAUAGUUUAAAAAAAACAUUAUAUUUUCAUUAUAAAGAUAAUUUAAUUUAAAUUUAUAAAUU
RNAcentral lists this transfer RNA (67 nucleotides) under Chelonus formosanus. RNAcentral describes it as "tRNA-Glu". Lineage: Eukaryota; Metazoa; Arthropoda; Insecta; Hymenoptera; Braconidae. The record is from RNAcentral.